Molecule: ribosomal RNA, 1686 nt
Filed under: human oral metagenome
Description: bacterial LSU rRNA
Rfam family: Bacterial large subunit ribosomal RNA
Source: RNAcentral
AAGCAGCCAUCCUUGAAAGAGUGCGUAAUAGCUCACUGGUCAAGUGAUCGUGCGCCGACAAUGUAGCGGGGCUCAAGCACACCGCCGAAGCCGCGGACCCAUGACAUGGUUCCCUUCAUCGUGCGCCUUGUGCGUGUGGUGGCAGGGGUUGUGGGUGGUAGGGGAGCGUCCUGCACCGGGGGAAGCCUGUGGGUGACUGCUGGUGGACGGUGCGGGAGUGAGAAUGCAGGCAUGAGUAGCGAUACUAGGGUGAGAAGCCCUAGCGCCGAAUGACCAAGGGUUCCAGGGCCAGGCUAGUCCGCCCUGGGUGAGUCGGGACCUAAGGCGAGGCCGACAGGCGUAGUCGAUGGAUGACGGGUUGAUAUUCCCGUACCGGCGAAGCACCGCCCAUGCUGACGCGCGGGUGCUAACCCACGCCCAGCCACCAAGUUCAGCUGCGCCUACUCCUUUCGGGGGGUGGUGUGGUUGUGGUGGUGGGGUCUGGGGAUCCUCCGUGCAGGUAGGCAAGCGUGUUAACAGGGGUGACGCACAGUGGUAGCCCGGCGGACCUGAUGGCUUGGUCCGUUCAAGCGCGCAGCCCGUUGCCCAGGUAAAUCCGGGGGACUGUCUUUGAUGACGGGGGUGAGGCGUGAUGGUGACCCCACGCUGGUGGGGGAUAACAGGGUGAUCCUGGGGUGCCGAGAAAAGCCUCGACGCGAUGGUGCCAGCCGCCCGUACCCUAAACCGACACAGGUGGUCGGGCAGAGUAUGCCUAGGCGCACGAGUGAAUCAUGGUUAAGGAACUCGGCAAAAUGCCCCCGUAACUUCGGGAGAAGGGGGGCCUGAUCCCUGAAGCCCCUUUGCGGGCUAGGGGGGAGGGUCGCAGAGGCCAGGGGGAAGCGACUGUUUACUAAAAACACAGGUCCGUGCGAAGCCGUAAGGCGAUGUAUACGGACUGACGCCUGCUUAAGCCCCAGUAAACGGCGGUGGUAACUAUAACCAUCCUAAGGUAGCGAAAUUCCUUGUCGGGUAAGUUCCGACCUGCACGAAUGGCGUAACGACUUCCCCGCUGUCUCAACCAUGAGCUCGGCGAAAUUGCAGUACGAGUAAAGAUGCUCGUUUCGCGCAGAAGGACGGAAAGACCCCGGGACCUUUACUACAGCUUGGUAUUGGCGCCCGCUAUAGCUUGUGCAGGAUAGGUGGGAGACUGUGAAGCCGUUACGCCAGUGGCGGUGGAGUCGUCCUUGAAAUACCACUCUGGUUAUGGCGUGCGCCUGAACCUGGGCCCGUGAUCCGGGUUAGGGACAGUGCCUGGUGGGUAGUUUAACUGGGGCGGUUGCCUCCUAAAGUGUAACGGAGGCGCUCAAAGGUUCCCUCAGCCUGGUCGGCAACCAGGUGUUGAGUGCAAGUGCACAAGGGAGCUUGACUGUGAGACCGACGGGUCGAGCAGGUACGAAAGUAGGAACUAGUGAUCCGGCGAUCCCGUGUGGGUGGGUCGUCGCUCAACGGAUAAAAGGUACCCCGGGGAUAACAGGCUGAUCCUGCCCAAGAGUCCAUAUCGACGGCAUGGUUUGGCACCUCGAUGUCGGCUCGUCGCAUCCUGGGGCUGGAGCAGGUCCCAAGGGUUGGGCUGUUCGCCCAUUAAAGCGGUACGCGAGCUGGGUUUAGAACGUCGUGAGACAGUUCGGUCCCUAUCCUCUGCGCGCG